GGAUCUGCAGGUAUACUGAGACAUUACAAUGUGCAAGCAGGAACUAGGAUUUGGGUAGAAUACGUGUCUUCUCAAAAUGGAGUUUUUCAAAAGGGAAAACUGACUUCAUGUUAUUGUAGUUUCUCUCUCUCUCUCUCUCCACCUCUGUCUCUCUCCUAGACAAUAAUUUGCUCUACUUCCAUUAGGAUGUUGAGGGUGAUCCGUGCAGACUGGAACAAAAUAGUACUAACUUUUUUUUUUUUUUUUUCCAGUCAGACAGAUUGCUCUAGAGUCUACCCAAUUUAACAACAGUUUGUACUCGCUGGUGUUUUGAACAUGAAAAGAGCUUUCAAAGUGAAAGAACCAAUUUGAAAAGAGCUUCAGCAUCGCUGAUGGGCCAGGAGAAAAUGGGACUUUCCCAGUUGUGGAAUGGCAACGCGCUCCAUCGCCUUGAGGGCAGCAAUGAACAAGGACUCAGCCUCUCAGCCCUUUAGUCCCAGAUGUGGUAACAGCUCCUUUGAUGUACCUGCGCUGGAGUACUUACUAUUCCCAGAACCCCGCCUAUACUUUAAAAUCACCAUUUUAUGAAUAAGAAAACUGAGGCCAAGAGAAGUUUUUAUACGUGUUCAAGUUCACCCUGUUGGUCAGUGG
This is a long non-coding RNA of Panthera uncia (snow leopard), 630 nucleotides long. RefSeq lists it as uncharacterized. Lineage: Eukaryota; Metazoa; Chordata; Mammalia; Carnivora; Felidae. The transcript has 3 exons. The record is from RefSeq and is a predicted model, not a curated record.